RNAcentral lists this RNase P RNA (352 nucleotides) under Methylomonas sp. Its description in RNAcentral is "RNase P RNA component class A". It matches the Rfam family "Bacterial RNase P class A". From Rfam's summary of the family: Ribonuclease P (RNase P) is a ubiquitous endoribonuclease, found in archaea, bacteria and eukarya as well as chloroplasts and mitochondria. Its best characterised activity is the generation of mature 5'-ends of tRNAs by cleaving the 5'-leader elements of precursor-tRNAs. Cellular RNase Ps are ribonucleoproteins. The record is from RNAcentral. Lineage: Bacteria; Pseudomonadati; Pseudomonadota; Gammaproteobacteria; Methylococcales; Methylococcaceae.
CGAGUUGGCCGAACAGUCGCCGUUUUACCUUGCGUAAAAGGGAGGAAAGUCCGGGCUCCACAGGGCAGGGUGCCAGGUAAUGCCUGGGAGGCGCGAGCCUACGGAAAGUGCCACAGAAAAUAUACCGCCAGGUUUCUCGUAAACCCGGUAAGGGUGAAAUGGUGCGGUAAGAGCGCACCGCGCGGCUGGCAACAGUCGUGGCAGGGAAAACCCCACCCGGAGCAAGAUCAAAUAGAGGCGCAUACGCGCGGCCCGCGCGGCGCCUGGGUAGAUCGCUGGAGCGGCAAGGUGACUUGCCGCCUAGAUGAAUGGCUGUUCACGACAGAACCCGGCUUAUAGGCCAACUCGCUUU